UCUUAGUUUUUUUCAGCUUUUUAAAACUGUCUGAAUGUUUUUUUCUUUCGUUUUGCAUGAAUUUUAAAUUUUCUGAAUGUUUUUUUUCUAUUUCGGUUUGUAUGAAUUUAAAUUCUAUAAUAUUAUUAGUUUUAAAUUUCAGAUUUUAUUUAUUUAUUAAUUAAUUUUUCAUAUAAAAAAUAUAUAUAAAAAUGCAAAAUUAAUUCGUAUUAUUAAAAUUGACAUUUUCCGACGAACUAAGUUCUCGGUAAAUACCGACGGAGUAUGACUCGUCGGUAAAUACCGACGGACUAUGAUUCGUCGGAACAUACCGACGAAUGGUGAGUCGUCGGAAUUUACCGACGAAUCGUAAUCCGUCGGUAUUUACCGACGAGUCAUAUUCCGUCGGUAUUUACCGACGAAUCAGACUCCGUCGGUAUUUACCGAGAACUUAGUUCGUCGGAAUCUUCGGAGGAUCCGUCUCCGUCGGUAUAUAGUUUUUCCGAUGAACUCUAGUCUCGUGUGUCCGCAUCGGAAUAUUGUCGGAAGUUCGUCAGAAUGUUAUUUCUCGGUAUUCGUCAGAAAGUCGUCGGAAAUUCUGACGAAAUUCCGACGAAUUCUUUUUUUCCGACGAAAUGAUACCGACGAACGCCUUCGUCAGAAAUGCGUCGGAAUAGGCCUUUUCCGACGAACUUCCGACGAUUUUGGCCAUCAGAAUCUCUUUGUUUUCUUGUAGUGAAAUAACUACUAUCUUUGAAUGUAUAAUUGCAUUUACUGGUACUUGGGUUAUGUCAAAAUUAUAUAAAAUUAAUUUUUCUGGAUAUAUAACUGCAUUUCUGAUAUUUCGAGCAACCAUAUGGUUUUCGUUUCAGUUUGUUUGGUUCCCGUUUUCUAAAAUCCAUCAGGGUAUUUUGUCGGUUUCGGAUAGGUUGGAUUCCACCUAAUUCAGUUUGUAGGUGAGAAAAUAUUUACAUGCAUGUGAUAUGUAAUCUUGGUCUAAUCUCCAACGAAUAUUUACAUGCAUGCGAUGUUUACAUUCUUCUUUUGUUCAAAGAGUUUUUUUUUUCUUUUUUUCUCAAAGAGUUAUUUUACGCUCAUGUAUCAUGAAUAGUUAUGAUAAUGUGAUCUGUGGUCAGAUAGUAAUAACGGAAGAUUGGAUCUUAGUUACAUGAAAUGAAGAUACUCCAAGAUAAGUCAUCGUCUUAGUCUUUCCAGUUAGAGUGAUUGAUAAUGGGAAUUGUGAUUCUUAGUCAAAAUUGAGGAAUUAGUGGGUUAGUGAAAUAUCGGAUUAGUAUAAUGAUUUAAUAUCAUUUUGAAUAGAUUUUUGUAGAAUAAUUGUAAAGUGCUAUGAAAUAAUUUUAGUAGGUUAGUGACGUUUCGGUUUUUUUUAACAGUUUUUUUAAUAAAUUGCAGGAAAAAAAAAACAUACAAGCCCAAAGGCUUAAGUUUGUUACGGGCUUAACCCAGUAAAAGACUCUUAAGGAAACUCAUAUUGGAGGAACUAAAACUCAGUAGCAUUGUCAAGGCCCAUAGUGGAAGUUGUAACGGUGGAGAAGACAUAUUGCUUCAUUGUUUCCUUCGCAAGCAAUUAUGAUCGGAGAAACCAGAGUUGAGUCAUCGCCGAUGACGCCCUGGGAUUUGCAUGUCGGAAACUCUGAAGACGGUUACGAAUCUGCUCAUCAAUAAGUGAGAUCAAAGCUUCAGGCUGUUUGAAGAUAUGUUGAUGGAGUCUUGCGUUUCGCUCAGACCAAAGCCAGUAGAUCGUGGCUUGUGUUGCUAGCAGUAUGAGGCGUAGAGUGUCGCGAUUCGUACGGAGUGCCUGGAGUUGUAGGACAGUGUCUUCCCAAGAGGACAUCGAUCGAGUAGGACCAGCCAAGUCAUGAAGUUAUUAUGUCUCGGGAUUCCAUAUGAGAACCAGACGAUCUUUGCCCAGGGUACUUGUUGGCACUGACCUUUUAGGUGUACGUGGAGCGUCAACUGAUUCUCAGUUCUCGCCGGAGGGAGACGCCAUCGUCCACCAAUGAAGAGUGAUGCCACUGUUGUUGUCUUUGGGAUUCCUAGACGAGUAGAGUUAGCAUUCAAGAAAGUAUAGAGGUUCCCAAAUGGUGACCAGUUGUCAAACCAGAAGCGGGUGCUUUCACCAUUACCAAUCCGUUGUUUAAGCAACAGACCCAUACAAAUUUUGGUCGAAAGAAAAGCAUCCAAAUCAGCUUCAGUAUACACGCGAGGUUCCAACUAUGACAGUCUUUAACACCCAGUCCUCCCUGAUCUUUAGACUUGGACAAGAUAAAGUGGAACAUCAGAAGGUAAAGACUCUUGCUAUCACCGUUUUUGUCAGUAGUAGCCGUCCAGCGAAAUAAAGAGCUUUAGCCGACUAAGUAGAGAGACACUGCUUUAUCUGCUGUAUUAGAGGCUCACAAUUCUGGAGGUUCAGUUUCUUUGUACACAAAGGGACCUCAAGAUAACGCAUGGAGAGGCUUCCACACGGCAUACCAAUUGAGGCUUGUAUUACUGCAAUUUCUUUAUCUUAUCUGGAGGACUCUCUGAACAGAUUCCAUAAACCCAUCGAUGAAUAUCAAUAGGUCAUCUGCGAAAGAGAGAUGAGCCAACCGCGUUUUAUGGCAUUGAUGGUGAUAAGAUAAGUGUCUUGUCCUUGCUUCUUUAUCCAACAUCAUAGACAAGUAGUUCAUUGCGAUGAUAAACAAGUACGGAGACAGAGGGUCUCAUUGCCUUAGUCCUCUCUUGCCUUUGAAGAAACAACUUACCAUUCCAUUAUAACCCACCAUAAAUGUUGUUGUGCAGAUACAAGCUUUGAGCAGGCGAGUAAAGGGAGCAGGAAGGUCUAAGUUUUCCAAAGAUGCGAAAAGGAACUCCUAUGAUAGAGUAUCAAAGGCCUUUGCAAUGUCAACCUUGAUGGAAACCUGAAUCGAAGAACUCUUGGAUCAAGGAGAUACAUUCUUUCCCCAACAGUGACCAAGUAGCUUUGAGGAAACUGAUGUUAGGAGUUUUCAAGGCUCCUAAAACAAAUGUUGUAAUAUAAGUGAAUGUCGAACCAAUUCUAAGGGAUUUCAAUGCACUGAGAAUGCAAGUACUUACUUAAUCUAAGUACAACCGAUGAUUUAGAAGA
This is a long non-coding RNA of Brassica napus (rape), 3106 nucleotides long. RefSeq lists it as uncharacterized. The record is from RefSeq and is a predicted model, not a curated record. NCBI's taxonomy places the organism in Eukaryota, Viridiplantae, Streptophyta, Magnoliopsida, Brassicales, Brassicaceae. The transcript is spliced from 7 exons.